GACGAACGCUGGCGGCGUGCUUAACACAUGCAAGUCGAACGGUGAACGAGGGAGCUUGCUCCCUCCGGAUCAGUGGCGAACGGGUGAGUAACACGUGAGCAAUCUGCCCCGAACUCUGGGAUAAGCGUUGGAAACGACGUCUAAUACCGGAUACGACGCGGGAGGGCAUCCUCUCCGCGUGGAAAGAACUUCGGUUCGGGAUGAGCUCGCGGCCUAUCAGCUUGUUGGUGAGGUAACGGCUCACCAAGGCGACGACGGGUAGCCGGCCUGAGAGGGUGACCGGCCACACUGGGACUGAGAAACGGCCCAGACUCAUACGGGAGGCAGCAGUGGGGAAUAUUGCACAAUGGGCGCAAGCCUGAUGCAGCAACGCCGCGUGAGGGACGACGGCCUUCGGGUUGUAAACCUCUUUUAGCAGGGAAGAAGCGAAAGUGACGGUACCUGCAGAAAAAGCACCGGCUAACUACGUG
Molecule: ribosomal RNA, 470 nt
Filed under: uncultured bacterium
Lineage: Bacteria
Description: partial 16S ribosomal RNA
Rfam family: Bacterial small subunit ribosomal RNA
Source: RNAcentral